RNAcentral lists this ribosomal RNA (492 nucleotides) under uncultured bacterium. RNAcentral describes it as "partial 16S ribosomal RNA". It matches the Rfam family "Bacterial small subunit ribosomal RNA", at positions 29 to 507 of the family's 1533-position model. The record is from RNAcentral.
AGUGAACGCUGGCGGUAGGCCUAACACAUGCAAGUCGAACGGCAGCACAGUAAGAGCUUGCUCUUACGGGUGGCGAGUGGCGGACGGGUGAGGAAUACAUCGGAAUCUACUUUUUCGUGGGGGAUAACGUAGGGAAACUUACGCUAAUACCGCAUACGACCUACGGGUGAAAGCAGGGGAUCUUCGGACCUUGCGCGAUUGAAUGAGCCGCUGUCGGAGUAGCUAGUUGGCGGGGUAAAGGCCCACCAAGGCGACGAUCCGUAGCUGGUCUGAGAGGAUGAUCAGCCACACUAGAACUGAGACACGGUCCAGACUCCUACGGGAGGCAGCAGUGGGGAAUAUUGGACAAUGGGGGCAAGCCUGAUACAGCCAUACCGCGUGGGUGAAGAAGGCCUUCGGGUUGUAAAGCCCUUUUGUUGGGAAAGAAAAGCAGCAGGUUAAUACCCCGCUGUUCUGACGGUACCCAAAGAAUAAGCACCGGCUAACUUCGUG